CCUACGGGAGGCAGCAGUGGGGAAUUUUGGACAAUGGGCGCAAGCCUGAUCCAGCCAUGCCGCGUGUGGGAAGAAGGCCUUCGGGUUGUAAACCACUUUUGUCAGGGAAGAAACGGCCUUUACUAAUAUUAGGGGCUAAUGACGGUACCUGAAGAAUAAGCACCGGCUAACUACGUGCCAGCAGCCGCGGUAAUACGUAGGGUGCAAGCGUUAAUCGGAAUUACUGGGCGUAAAGCGUGCGCAGGCGGCUUUGCAAGACAGAUGUGAAAUCCCCGGGCUCAACCUGGGAACUGCAUUUGUGACUGCAUGGCUAGAGUACGGUAGAGGGGGAUGGAAUUCCGCGUGUAGCAGUGAAAUGCGUAGAUAUGCGGAGGAACACCGAUGGCGAAGGCAAUCCCCUGGACCUGUACUGACGCUCAUGCACGAAAGCGUGGGGAGCAAACAGGAUUAGAUACCCUGGUAGUCCACGCCCUAAACGAUGUCAACUGGUUGUUGGACGNUUGCUGUUCAGUAACGAGCUACGCGUGAAGUUGACCGCCGUGGGGUAAGGUACGGUCCGCGAGUAGUUAACGUUAAGUAAGUUAGUUAGGCGNGNGAGAGCGACGACGACGACGAGGAGGGAGGAGG
This 627-nucleotide ribosomal RNA is filed under the name uncultured bacterium. RNAcentral describes it as "bacterial SSU rRNA". The stretch from base 1 to 539 matches the Rfam family "Bacterial small subunit ribosomal RNA", at positions 338 to 873 of the family's 1533-position model. The record is from RNAcentral.